Molecule: long non-coding RNA, 301 nt
Organism: Dromaius novaehollandiae (emu)
Lineage: Eukaryota; Metazoa; Chordata; Aves; Casuariiformes; Dromaiidae
Exons: 3
Source: RefSeq, a predicted model, not a curated record
UUCAGCAAUUCUAACAACUUACAGUCCUCGCUGUCCCUUUGUGAACACAGAUGUCGUGCUGACGGGGGUAUGGCCAAAAUGACAAGAGGUGACCUGUCACUGAACUCGGGAGCAGAUGGUUAUAAUUCAACACAUGGUUUAAAUAGAGAGCCUGCCAUGGUGGAGCGGAGCCCGGAGCAGCAGCACGUGUUCCCAUUGGUUCGAGUCAGCGCACAAGUGCGGCUGCUGAGCAACGUGCACCUUCUCGAAACUCCAUCCUGUAUUUGAGAAACUUUCCCCUAGAAGCCAGUACACGUACAAG